UCACAUUCAAGGCUUCAACUCAAGCAUGACCAGAACAUGAAUACGAUUGGGCUUACUCCAGACCCGCAAAUUUUGUAUCAUUUUCAAGUCAAGCCUGCGAAUUGAAUUAAAGAUUCGCAUCGUGAUGGGAAUAUGUAGGUUGAUACAUACAAAAUUAUUUUUCAAAUUUUAAAAAAAAUGUCAUGGUUUUAAAUUGGGAGGGGAUUGAGGGAAUGUCACAAGCCACAGGCGAAUCAAAUCCAGGAGGUUGAGACAAAGGAGGUCAAUUGCUGAAACCCUAGGGGCCGGAGAAAGAAGAAGAAGAUGGAUGAUAGCAGAAAGAGGCGUUUACCGCCGUGGAUGCGGGGUGUGGCUGCAAGCAAGUCCGAUGACGGAGAGUUAAUACAUUCGUCAUCCAAGGAUAUCAGGCCAUCGAAUUCAAAUUCCGGGAUCACACAAGAAGAACGGGAUGCCAAGGAAACUUUGGAGGUGAAGUCAAUUUUACCCUCAGAAUGUGAAACCAAGAGGAGGAAGAGGAAAUUGAAACUACAAGAUGCGGAUCAUGGUGGUGAUGUGCGUGGAACUGAUUCGGUUGAGGUAUCAGCUCCCAAAAAGGGUCGAAAAACACGGAAAGGGAGUAAUUCAAGGGUUGAAAGUAGGAAGGAAGCUGGAAUCACACCUCCAACUGAAGAUGAAGGGGAAUUGACUGUGGAAGAUCUCAUGAGCAUUGCUCAAGAGUAUGUCAAAGCUGAUAAGGUUAUGGAGCAGCACAAGUUGAAUAGUAAAGAAUGUGAACUGGAAAGCCAAUUUCCAGCUACAGACUUUUAUAGGAAUGAGGCAGGGGGUUCUCUCAAUGCUGCACAAAGUAAUAGGAGAUUACCUGCACAAGAUGCAGUAACUUCUCACAAGUUGACUAUGAUUUCAGCAGGUGAUGGAAUUGUCAGCAAUCCCAGCAGAACUGGUGAUCCUGCUCAAGACAUGUUGGACCUGUUUUUGGGUCCCUUGCUCAAGAAACCCCUAGAGGAGAAAAAGCAGUUUGCAUUUGUUACUGAGGAUGUGAAAUUUGUCCAUGAGUUCAAAAAACAAUGUCAAGAAGAAAUGGUGGUCCCCUUGACAAAGAAGAAGAGCAGUCUCAAAGACAAGGUAGCGGUGUUCCUUGAUUGAAUGAAACAUCCAUAUCUUAUGACAAAGAGCACUACAAUGUGGUGAAGCAGGAAACUGAGAAUGCAACAUACUUUGCCAACCUUUGCACACUUAUCAUCUGCUCUUUUGAAGUUAAUCUCAUGCCUGCUGCACAUCAUAUUCCCCAGUUGGUGCCUACCUCAGGGAGCAAAAUUCUCCAUAGCAAGCUUCUUCUGAAACCUUAGUGAGAGGAAUGUGGAAAGCUUCCGACCAAGAGAACUCCUUGAGACAAGUAGCAGUUGGAGUUCCCCACCUGUAUGAAUUAUCCAGAAGCUGACAAGCAGCCUUCCUUUCAAAUGGUGUCUCAAACAACUUCACUUGCUCUCUCCUCAUCUCACUCAGCAGCUCAGGCCUGAUCCCAUGGUUCACCACUUGGAAGAAUCCCCACUUGGACGACGCCCUACCAAUUGCUGAUGCGCAGGCCAGCCUCUCCUCUUCACUCUCACUCCACAGGCCCUCAAGAUCUAUCAAUGGCAGCUGGCAUUCCUCCAUGGCAGCUCCAUUGUUCCCACAAUCACGUUGCUGAACUGCAGGAGUUUCUCCGUGUUGGCAAAGAACUCCAUAAUGUUGCAAGAGAGGUGGGUUUGCGUUGGUCAUUGUUCUCCUGAAAUGGACACUUCAGCUUAUGGGAGUGCAACAAGAGCAAGUGCAGGGUGUAUAAUGAUGGUUGAAAGGGGUAUAUAUAUAGGGGAGAAAAGAGAAUGACGAAGGGGACAAGGAGCACAAGGAGAAAAAGACAUACACAAGUAGAGCUUCCAUGUAGCGACAAUUGUCACAAGGAGAGCACUUUAAAACUUGCCCAACUGGGACCAAGUCAUAUGUAAAUUUUGGAGCGUGAGAAAAUAUGAAAAAGAAAAAAAAAAGAGAUCAAUAUUCCAGACCAAAACCUAACUUGGAUUCUACUUUAA
Vitis riparia (riverbank grape) is the source of this 2069-nucleotide RNA transcript. RefSeq lists it as uncharacterized. Lineage: Eukaryota; Viridiplantae; Streptophyta; Magnoliopsida; Vitales; Vitaceae. The transcript has 3 exons. The record is from RefSeq and is a predicted model, not a curated record.